Molecule: long non-coding RNA, 620 nt
Organism: Rhododendron vialii
Lineage: Eukaryota; Viridiplantae; Streptophyta; Magnoliopsida; Ericales; Ericaceae
Exons: 2
Source: RefSeq, a predicted model, not a curated record
GGGUCCUCAUUCCCCCAAUUUCACGUUACGUUCAAACACAGAGAGAGAGAGAGAAGAACGACGACGAAGAAGAAGAUCGAUCGAAGGAAGCCAGAAGAAGAAGAACGAACAUCACCACACCACCAAGAACCCGAAUGGUUGUUCCUUUUUUACAUGGUAUGACCCCCCUACUUGUGCUAGAGGCAUGGAUUAUGGAAGGCAGAUGUCAAGAAAAAUUGAUGAAAUUGCAAGCUGAAAAUGAAGACCUGCUACGGAAAAAUGAAACAAUGGUAAUGAAAAUUGAGGAAUUGAUGAGCUCAAAUGAGAGUGUGGCCAAAAAAGUUCAAGAGUUGUGAGACAAGAACCAUCCGUUAUCGAAGAGAAAUGAAGAGUUGGUGAGGUCCUUAGCAUUGUCUGAAUCCAAAGUGUUGAAGCUCCAGCGUUUUUUUUAGUUGCUAUAAUCUGGACUUGUAAGCAUUUCAAUUGUUGAGAUGUAUAUUCGCAAGAUGUUAGAACUUAUGUGGAGAAAUCUUUGAUGUUAGAAUUUCUUGUGUGUAAGCAUUUCGGUAACUAGUGUGACUGAUAGAAUUCUGCCAUGUUUUGCUCCAUUUUAUUGCAGUUGGUAUUUUAACUUUUGUUUU